This 202-nucleotide non-coding RNA is filed under the name Clostridium sp. RNAcentral's name for it is "GlcN6P sequence". It matches the Rfam family "glmS glucosamine-6-phosphate activated ribozyme aptamer". From Rfam's summary of the family: This entry contains a glucosamine-6-phosphate activated ribozyme that is found in the mRNA for GlmS. GlmS is an enzyme that uses fructose-6-phosphate and glutamine to generate glucosamine-6-phosphate. The ribozyme catalyses self cleavage of the glmS mRNA that is thought to regulate GlmS activity. The record is from RNAcentral. Lineage: Bacteria; Bacillati; Bacillota; Clostridia; Eubacteriales; Clostridiaceae. RNAcentral also lists the same sequence under 1 other name.
AGUAAAGCUAUAGCGCCAUGCACCUGGGUCGGGUCGUGAACAGUAACGGAUGAAUGAAUAAUAACUUACUGCUGACACAGGUUAACGAGGUGGAGAGAGAAUCGAACAUAUUCGGCGGGUGCUCUCCCAUGCAGUCCGGGCGUGUUUUAUACCAGAAAAAUAUGCGGGUAACUGCAAAACAAAGCUGGUAUAACCGGACAGA